AGAGUUUGAUCAUGGCUCAGAUUGUACGCUGGCGGCAGGCUUAACACAUGCAAGUCGAACGGUAACAGGAAGGAAGCUUGCUUUCUUUGCUGACGAGUGGCGGACGGGUGAGUAAUGCUUGGGAAUCUGGCUUAUGGAGGGGGAUAACUACGGGAAACUGUAGCUAAUACCGCGUAAUAUCUUCGGAUUAAAGGGUGGGACCGUAAGGCCACCUGCCAUAAGAUGAGCCCAAGUGGGAUUAGGUAGUUGGUGGGGUAAAGGCCUACCAAGCCGACGAUCUCUAGCUGGUCUGAGAGGAUGACCAGCCACACUGGAACUGAGACACGGUCCAGACUCCUACGGGAGGCAGCAGUGGGGAAUAUUGCACAAUGGGGGGAACCCUGAUGCAGCCAUGCCGCGUGAAUGAAGAAGGCCUUCGGGUUGUAAAGUUCUUUCGGUGAUGAGGAAGGCGGUUGUUUUAAUAGAACAAUCGAUUGACGUUAGUCACAGAAGAAGCACCGGCUAACUCCGUGCCAGCAGCCGCGGUAAUACGGAGGGUGCGAGCGUUAAUCGGAAUGACUGGGCGUAAAGGGCACGCAGGCGGUGACUUAAGUGAGAUGUGAAAGCCCCGGGCUUAACCUGGGAAUUGCAUUUCAUACUGGGUCGCUAGAGUAUUUUAGGGAGGGGUAGAAUUCCACGUGUAGCGGUGAAAUGCGCAGAGAUGUGGAGGAAUACCGAAGGCGAAGGCAGCCCCUUGGGAAUAUACUGACGCUCAUGUGCGAAAGCGUGGGGAGCAAACAGGAUUAGAUACCCUGGUAGUCCACGCUGUAAACGCUGUCGAUUUGGGGAUUGGGCUUUAAGCUUGGUGCCCGUAGCUAACGUGAUAAAUCGACCGCCUGGGGAG
This 883-nucleotide ribosomal RNA is filed under the name uncultured bacterium. RNAcentral's name for it is "bacterial SSU rRNA". It matches the Rfam family "Bacterial small subunit ribosomal RNA", at positions 8 to 880 of the family's 1533-position model. The record is from RNAcentral.